UUGGUGGUUCAGUGGUAGAAUUCUCGCC
Molecule: non-coding RNA, 28 nt
Filed under: Drosophila melanogaster (fruit fly)
Lineage: Eukaryota; Metazoa; Arthropoda; Insecta; Diptera; Drosophilidae
Also listed under: 10 other names
Source: RNAcentral